RNAcentral lists this ribosomal RNA (694 nucleotides) under uncultured bacterium. RNAcentral's name for it is "bacterial SSU rRNA". It matches the Rfam family "Bacterial small subunit ribosomal RNA", at positions 69 to 774 of the family's 1533-position model. The record is from RNAcentral.
GGAAGUUUUCGGAUGGAAGCGGAUCUGACUUAGCGGCGGACGGGUGAGUAACGCGUGGAUAACCUGCCUCAUACAGGGGGAUAACAGUUAGAAAUGACUGCUAAUACCGCAUAAGCGCACAGGACCGCAUGGUCCGGUGUGAAAAACUCCGGUGGUAUGGGAUGGAUCCGCGUCUGAUUAGCUGGUUGGUGAGGUAACGGCCCACCAAGGCGACGAUCAGUAGCCGACCUGAGAGGGUGGCCGGCCACAUUGGGACUGAGACACGGCCCAAACUCCUACGGGAGGCAGCAGUGGGGAAUAUUGCACAAUGGGGGAAACCCUGAUGCAGCAACGCCGCGUGAGUGAAGAAGUAUUUCGGUAUGUAAAGCUCUAUCAGCAGGGAAGAAGAAAGACGGUACCUGACUAAGAAGCCCCGGCUAACUACGUGCCAGCAGCCGCGGUAAUACGUAGGGGGCAAGCGUUAUCCGGAUUUACUGGGUGUAAAGGGAGCGUAGACGGCUGUGCAAGUCUGAAGUGAAAGCCCGUGGCUCAACCGCGGAACUGCUUUGGAAACUGUAUAGCUUGAGUACUGGAGAGGCAGGCGGAAUUCCUAGUGUAGCGGUGAAAUGCGUAGAUAUUAGGAGGAACACCAGUGGCGAAGGCGGCCUGCUGGACAGAAACUGACGUUGAGGCUCGAAAGCGUGGGGAGCAAACA